RNAcentral lists this long non-coding RNA (334 nucleotides) under Prunus persica (peach). RNAcentral's name for it is "long non-coding RNA (PPER_LNC004452)". Lineage: Eukaryota; Viridiplantae; Streptophyta; Magnoliopsida; Rosales; Rosaceae. The record is from RNAcentral.
GCGAGGUUGGAUGGACUUCGUGCGUGACAAUCAUUUGGAAGUUGGUGAUCUGUGUCUUUUUGUGUUGAUUUCCAGCAAAAGUACACCUUUAUUUGAUCUUGUCAUGAACCCAUUAAACAGAAAAUCCAUGAACCCAUACCUAUAAGCACAUUAUUAACAGAUCGCAAAGCAUACACAUAAAACCCUUUAACAAAACAACCUAAUAUCAUUCAAUGAAUUUACAAGGGGAAGAUAGGGUUUGUACUUACAGGUUGGACGAGCUCACAGAUUCGACGGAGCCUGGAGAGUGCAACUUUUAAUUAGAGCAGAAGUGAGAGAGCGAAAUGUUAUGUCG